Molecule: signal recognition particle RNA, 267 nt
Filed under: Erysiphe necator (grape powdery mildew)
Lineage: Eukaryota; Fungi; Ascomycota; Leotiomycetes; Helotiales; Erysiphaceae
Description: Fungal signal recognition particle RNA
Rfam family: Fungal signal recognition particle RNA
Source: Rfam by way of RNAcentral
AAGCUGUAAUGGCUAUGGUGGGAGUCGGUUCGCUAAGUGAUCUACGAUUUAGUUGAAUAAGUAAAUCUUAAUCUGCCCGCUUGGAACUGUUGGAGAUGGUCUACUCGUGUAGGAAACUCACGAAUGAUGGUCCAUCCUAAGAAAUUACUGAAUUUCCCCAGAGAGUCUUCACUCAGCAAGGAACGGUUAACCAACAGUUAGCAUUGCCGGAUUACAGAAGAGGGUAACUAGAUCAUGAUUAUGUUAGGUCGUGGCGACCGCUUUAUU